AAUGAAGGUGAUGAUGUGUUUUUGUGUGAGUAUGAGUAUGAUGUGAAUUGGCAUAGCUUUAAGCGGAUUGCAGAGAUC
This 78-nucleotide small nucleolar RNA is filed under the name Helianthus annuus (common sunflower). RNAcentral's name for it is "Small nucleolar RNA snoR28". It matches the Rfam family "Small nucleolar RNA snoR28". From Rfam's summary of the family: R28 is a member of the C/D class of snoRNA which contain the C (UGAUGA) and D (CUGA) box motifs. Most of the members of the box C/D family function in directing site-specific 2'-O-methylation of substrate RNAs. The record is from Rfam by way of RNAcentral. RNAcentral also lists the same sequence under 1 other name. Lineage: Eukaryota; Viridiplantae; Streptophyta; Magnoliopsida; Asterales; Asteraceae.